This 175-nucleotide non-coding RNA is filed under the name Caldibacillus debilis. RNAcentral's name for it is "GlcN6P sequence". It matches the Rfam family "glmS glucosamine-6-phosphate activated ribozyme aptamer". From Rfam's summary of the family: This entry contains a glucosamine-6-phosphate activated ribozyme that is found in the mRNA for GlmS. GlmS is an enzyme that uses fructose-6-phosphate and glutamine to generate glucosamine-6-phosphate. Lineage: Bacteria; Bacillati; Bacillota; Bacilli; Caryophanales; Bacillaceae. The record is from RNAcentral.
CAUUUUUUUCAAGCGCCAGAACUAGGCCCCGGGACGUGCGGGGGCUUAGUUGACGAGGUGGAGGUUUAUCGAGGUGUUCGGCGGGUGCCUCCCGGCUGCGCGCACACGCAGUCGAAAGCCAUCUUCUCCAAAACAUUAAGGCGACUUAAUGGACAAAGGAAGAUGGAAUGUGUGC